RNAcentral lists this unclassified non-coding RNA (353 nucleotides) under soil metagenome. RNAcentral's name for it is "partial contains 5.8S ribosomal RNA, internal transcribed spacer 2, and large subunit ribosomal RNA". The stretch from base 1 to 120 matches the Rfam family "5.8S ribosomal RNA", at positions 35 to 154 of the family's 154-position model. The record is from RNAcentral.
GAUGAAGAACGUAGCGAAAUGCGAUAAGUAAUGUGAAUUGCAGAAUUCAGUGAAUCAUCGAAUCUUUGAACGCACAUUGCGCCCGCCAGUAUUCUGGCGGGCAUGCCUGUUCGAGCGUCAUUACAACCCUCAGGCCCCCGGGCCUGGCGUUGGGGAUCGGCGGAAGCCCCCUGCGGGCACAACGCCGUCCCCCAAAUACAGUGGCGGUCCCGCCGCAGCUUCCAUUGCGUAGUAGCUAACACCUCGCAACUGGAGAGCGGCGCGGCCACGCCGUAAAACACCCAACUUCUGAAUGUUGACCUCGAAUCAGGUAGGAAUACCGGCUGAACUUAAGCAUAUCAAUAAGCGGAGGA